Molecule: unclassified non-coding RNA, 1186 nt
Filed under: Hevea brasiliensis (rubber tree)
Lineage: Eukaryota; Viridiplantae; Streptophyta; Magnoliopsida; Malpighiales; Euphorbiaceae
Source: RNAcentral
AAAAUAAAGCGGGAUUUGGUUCUUUGCUCACACAGCAUACUUGCUUGCAAAAGAGACAAUGUUGCUCGUUCUGUGCUUGUUCAUAGUUCUUUUUUUCCUCCGGAUGUUAGUUCAGAAUCAGCUACAACAUCCUUGAAAGGCAAUGCGGAUGGGUAUAAAUCAUGCAGUGAUGCAAUCCAAAGAUCAGAUGAUGUAACAGUGGACAGCACCAUUUCUACCAAGUAUCAAAUUAAAGUUGUCAUGGAUGCAGAUCAAAAGACAGAUGACAGCUCCACAUCCCAAAGCCAUUUUACCCGAAAACCUAUGGAGAGGAUGUCAUUUGCCGGGAAGCAAAUCCCUCAUGGAGCUUCCCUUGCAUCUUGUAAUCCGUUGGAGGAGGGAGAAUGGAGCUCAAAAUCAAGAAAGCGUUUUGAGACCUUUGAGAAAGAGCUGGUGAUGACAUCAGAUCAAGCAUCUAUGAAGAAUCAGCAGUUACCUAAAGGAUAUUUUUAUAUUCCUGUUGAUUGCCUUCCAAAGGAGAAGCAGAUCAACCAGGGUGGAAAUUCUGGUGGACCAUUAGAACAGCACAGGUAGAUGAUGGAGGCAAAUAUUGGGUUCCUGAUUUGAGCACAGGGUAUCGGCAGGCAUCUNNCGAGGACAACUGCCUUCUGCCAAGGAGCUAGGCUAUUUAUCUGUUAUUGGAUUUAUGGAGGGAGAAUGGCAGAAUGGCGCUCUGAGAUGGUGUAUCCCCUUGAAUAGAAUUAAGGUCCAGGACAGAGCAAGGGAGUUUUAGCAUCAUUGUUGUAUAUUCAUUGUGAGAGUAAUUGUACAGUGAGGGUUUGUUCAAUUACAUGUAAUGCGGGCGGCUCGAAUUCAAGUAUAUUGAUGCUUGUCUCUUGUGGUUGGGAAGCUCUGCUGCUUGUAUGUUUAUGCAAGAAAUUAAAAGGUGUCACCUACUGUGCUUGCGCUGUAAAGUUGAUGUAAAUAUUUCUACAGUAUCAAUCUCAAAGAAAUUGCGCUCAACUUCAGAUUGAUGAAGCGUCCAACUUGCCCUCCGAAUGCAGCCACAUUAUUUUAUUUUUUCUUGUGGUUGUUUUCCUUGAGAUUUUUCAAUUAACCGACCAUGUAUUAUUUAGUUGCAAAAGAAAACCUAUUAUUUGUUGUUUGUAUAUUUGAUGAACGGGAUAAAAUUUCUCGUACUUGAGGG